This 623-nucleotide long non-coding RNA is filed under the name Mus caroli (Ryukyu mouse). RNAcentral describes it as "lncRNA (MGP_CAROLIEiJ_G0003100.1)". Lineage: Eukaryota; Metazoa; Chordata; Mammalia; Rodentia; Muridae. The record is from RNAcentral.
UUCGGGCCCAACGAAUUCCCUGCGGAGAGGGAAAAGUACCACGUUGCUUCUCGGGCCGUCAAGGAUCCCCAAACUUCCUGAAGUCUGAUACCCUUGGGAGGCCUCGCCCAGGGCCUGGGAAUCCCCAAGCAGUCCCAGGAGAGAGCGAAAUCCAGAGGCCGGGAGCAGGCAGGCGCUGUGGAUAGCUCAUUUGGACUUCGUGCAUCCGCCGCGGCGCAAGGAAUGAACCCGGGAUAAACUAUGUUCUAGUCCCAGAACUUAGCAGAAUCCGAGAGCCAGCAGCGGGGCUUAAGGCUUGCAUCUGCUGGUCCAAUUAUGAGCGCCAGGACAAAGCUAUGAAGACGGAGAAAGUAUCAGGCAUGGGUGCCCAACUUUGUCUUCUCUCUCUUCAAGAGAAGUGGGACCCGAGAAUCCCCGCCACAGCCGGCGCGGAUUGAUUUUCCCCUUCUAGGAUGGGGGACGACUGCGCAGAGCUCAAGCGCCUGGGGAGGAAGCAGUAAGUAGCGGCAGCCGGCGGUCCCGGGCCCCAGACGCUCGGCGGAGAGUCCGGCUGGAGCGCGGAGACCUGGCGCGGCUGCCUCUGUCUGCACCGCUCAGGGUCAGGGGAGGUUCCACCCGGUAAA